GAAGGCGUUAUCGGAUUACUGGGCGUAAGCGAGUGUAGGCGGCUAUGUAAGUCGGAUGUGAAAUCCCCGGGCUUAACCUGGGAAUUGCAUUCGAUACUGCAUGGCUAGAGUCUGAUAGAGGGAAGUGGAAUUCCAGGUGUGGCGGUGAAAUGCGUAGAUAUCUGGAGGAACACCAAUGGUUUUCGUCCAAAAAAAGGAUCAAGAG
Molecule: ribosomal RNA, 205 nt
Filed under: uncultured Gammaproteobacteria bacterium
Lineage: Bacteria; Pseudomonadati; Pseudomonadota; Gammaproteobacteria
Description: partial 16S ribosomal RNA
Rfam family: Bacterial small subunit ribosomal RNA
Source: RNAcentral